Molecule: small nuclear RNA, 141 nt
Organism: Antechinus flavipes (yellow-footed antechinus)
Lineage: Eukaryota; Metazoa; Chordata; Mammalia; Dasyuromorphia; Dasyuridae
Product: U4 spliceosomal RNA
Exons: 1
Source: RefSeq, a predicted model, not a curated record
AGCUUUGCACAGUGGCUGUAUUGCAACUUACUAGGUUUAACCAAGGUUCAAUUAUUGCUAAUUGAAAAGCAAAAACUAUACUCCCUGACCUCCCCAAUCAGGGUAUGAGUUCUUUGGGGUAGUAAUUCCUAUGUCCUCAUA